UACGUAGGGCGUAAGCGUUGUCCGGAAUUAUUGGGCGUAAAGAGCUCGUAGGCGGCUUGUCACGUCGGGUGUGAAAGCCCGGGGCUUAACCUCGAGAUGUCAUCGGAAACCAUCUGGCUAGAGUCCGGAAGAGGAGAGUGGAAUUCCUGGUGUAGCGGUGAAAUGCGCAGAUAUCAGGAAGAACACCAAUGGCGAAAGCAGCUCUCUGGGACGGUACUGACGCUGAGACGCGAAAGCGUGGGGAGCGAACAGG
RNAcentral lists this ribosomal RNA (253 nucleotides) under uncultured bacterium. RNAcentral describes it as "partial 16S ribosomal RNA". It matches the Rfam family "Bacterial small subunit ribosomal RNA", at positions 524 to 776 of the family's 1533-position model. The record is from RNAcentral.